Molecule: non-coding RNA, 23 nt
Filed under: Arabidopsis thaliana (thale cress)
Lineage: Eukaryota; Viridiplantae; Streptophyta; Magnoliopsida; Brassicales; Brassicaceae
Source: RNAcentral
GUCGAUGUCGUCAGCUGUUGGUA